AACGUAGGUGGCAAGCGUUAUCCGGAUUUACUGGGCGUAAAGCGUGUGCAGGCGGUCGUUCAAGUGGUGUAUGAAAUCGCCCGGCUUAACCGGGCGGGGUUAGGCCAGACUGGACGACUGGAGUGCGGGAGAGGGACGUGGAAUUCCGGGUGUAGUGGUGAAAUGCGUAGAGAUCCGGAGGAACCCCAGCGGCGAAGGCGGCGUCCUGGCCCGCAACUGACGCUCAGACACGACAGCAUGGGGAG
Molecule: ribosomal RNA, 245 nt
Filed under: uncultured bacterium
Lineage: Bacteria
Description: partial 16S ribosomal RNA
Rfam family: Bacterial small subunit ribosomal RNA
Source: RNAcentral